RNAcentral lists this ribosomal RNA (614 nucleotides) under uncultured bacterium. Its description in RNAcentral is "bacterial SSU rRNA". The stretch from base 1 to 520 matches the Rfam family "Bacterial small subunit ribosomal RNA", at positions 338 to 873 of the family's 1533-position model. The record is from RNAcentral.
CCUACGGGAGGCAGCAGUGGGGAAUCUUGCGCAAUGGGCGAAAGCCUGACGCAGCCAUGCCGCGUGAAUGAUGGAGGUCUUAGGAUUGUAAAAUUCUUUCACCGGGGACGAUAAUGACGGUACCCGGAGAAGAAGCCCCGGCUAACUUCGUGCCAGCAGCCGCGGUAAUACGAAGGGGGCUAGCGUUGCUCGGAAUUACUGGGCGUAAAGGGAGCGUAGGCGGAUAGUUUAGUCAGAGGUGAAAGCCCAGGGCUCAACCUUGGAAUUGCCUUUGAUACUGGCUAUCUUGAGUGUGGGAGAGGUAUGUGGAACUCCGAGUGUAGAGGUGAAAUUCGUAGAUAUUCGGAAGAACACCAGUGGCGAAGGCGACAUACUGGCCCAUUACUGACGCUGAGGCUCGAAAGCGUGGGGAGCAAACAGGAUUAGAUACCCUGGUAGUCCACGCUGUAAACGAUGAGUGCUAGUUGUCAGCAUGCAUGCAUGUCGGUGACGCAGCUAACGACAUUAAGACACCUCCGCCGUCGGGGAGGUACGGUCGCGAAGAAGUUAAAACUAACAAUAGAAGUUAGUACGGCGUGAGACGUAGACCGACGGACGACGACGAGGGAGGAGGG